Molecule: transfer RNA, 85 nt
Filed under: Candidatus Aenigmatarchaeota archaeon
Lineage: Archaea; Nanobdellati; Candidatus Aenigmatarchaeota
Description: tRNA-Ser
Rfam family: tRNA
About the family: Transfer RNA (tRNA) molecules are approximately 80 nucleotides in length.
Source: RNAcentral
GCCGGGGUCGCCUAACUGGUAUGGCACCGGUCUCGAGAACCGGUGGGCUUUAACGCCCUUGUGGGUUCGAAUCCCACCCCCGGCG